Molecule: ribosomal RNA, 769 nt
Filed under: uncultured fungus
Lineage: Eukaryota; Fungi
Description: eukaryotic LSU rRNA
Rfam family: Eukaryotic large subunit ribosomal RNA
Source: RNAcentral
GAACUUAAGCAUAUCAAUAAGCGCAGGAAAGAAACCAACAGGGAUUGCUCAGUAACGGCGAGUGAAGCGGCAACAGCUCAAAUUUGAAAUCUGGCCUCUCGGGGUCCGAGUUGUAAUUUGUAGAGGAUGUUUUGGGUACCGCCCCGGUCUAAAUUUCUUGGAACAGAAUGUCAAAGAGGGUGAGAAUCCCGUCUUGGACCGGCGGUAGGGCCUGUGUAAAACUCCUUCGACGAGUCGAGUUGUUUGGGAAUGCAGCUCAAAAUGGGUGGUAAAUUUCAUCUAAAGCUAAAUAUUGGCCAGAGACCGAUAGCGCACAAGUAGAGUGAUCGAAAGAUGAAAAGCACUUUGAAAAGAGAGUUAAACAGUAUGUGAAAUUGUUGAAAGGGAAGCGCUUGCAACCAGACUUGAGCGCGGCGGUUCCCCUGGCCUUUUGGCCAGGUUACUCCGUCGUGUCCAGGCCAACAUCGGUUUCGAGGGUCGGUCAAAGGCUCCGGGAAUGUAUCUACCCACGGGUAGACUUAUAGACCGGGGUGUCAUGCGACCUCUCGGGACCGAGGAACGCGCUUCGGCUCGGAUGUUGGCGUAAUGGUUGUCAGCGACCCGUCUUGAAACACGGACCAAGGAGUCUAACAUCUAUGCGAGUGUUUGGGUGUCAAACCCGGAACGCGAAAUGAAAGUGAACGGAGGUAGGAAGCUUCGGCUGCACUAUCGACCGAUCCUGAAGUUUACGGAAGGAUUUGAGUAAGAGCAUAGCUGUUGGGACCCGAAA